CCUACGGGAGGCAGCAGUGGGGAAUAUUGCACAAUGGGGGGAACCCUGAUGCAGCGACGCCGCGUGGGUGAAGGAGUAUUUCGGUAUGUAAAGCCCUAUCAGCAGGGAAGAACAAUGACGGUACCUGACUAAGAAGCACCGGCUAAAUACGUGCCAGCAGCCGCGGUAAUACGUAUGGUGCAAGCGUUAUCCGGAUUUACUGGGUGUAAAGGGAGCGCAGGCGGCGCGUUAAGCCUGGUGUGAAAGUCCGCGGCCCAACCGCGGGACUGCAUUGGGAACUGGCGCGCUGGAGUGCCGGAGGGGUAGGCGCAAUUCCUAGUGUAGCGGUGAAAUGCGUAGAUAUUAGGAGGAACACCAGUGGCGAAGGCGGCCUACUGGACGGUGACUGACGCUGAGGCUCGAAAGCGUGGGGAGCAAACAGGAUUAGAUACCCGUGUAGUC
RNAcentral lists this ribosomal RNA (441 nucleotides) under uncultured bacterium. RNAcentral's name for it is "partial 16S ribosomal RNA". It matches the Rfam family "Bacterial small subunit ribosomal RNA", at positions 338 to 795 of the family's 1533-position model. The record is from RNAcentral.